Molecule: unclassified non-coding RNA, 1109 nt
Filed under: Hevea brasiliensis (rubber tree)
Lineage: Eukaryota; Viridiplantae; Streptophyta; Magnoliopsida; Malpighiales; Euphorbiaceae
Source: RNAcentral
AAUCAUCCAAACUCAUUCUCGUCCAAAAGCUUAUCCCUCACUUUCUGAGCAGCCAAACGCCGCUGAUAUUUUCAAAUUGCCAAUGGCCACAAUCAGUCUCCGGAAGAGCAACACUCGCCUUCCACCGGAGGUGAACCGAGUCCUCUACGUACGAAACCUCCCCUUCAAUAUAUCGAGCGAGGAGAUGUACGAUAUCUUCGGCAAGUACGGAGCUAUUCGCCAAAUACGGAUCGGCACCAACAAGGACACGCGAGGAACGGCUUUUGUAGUCUACGAGGAUAUCUACGACGCCAAAACGGCAGUGGAUCACUUGUCGGGUUUCAACGUGGCGAAUAGAUAUUUGAUCGUUUUGUACUAUCAGCAGGCCAAGAUGAGCAAGAAGUUUGAUCAGAAGAAGAAGGAGGAGGAGAUUGCUAAGAUGCAGGAGAAAUAUGGGGUUUCUACAAAAGAUAAGUAAACCCUUUUCAUUUCGAACGAAAACAAACAAAAAGAAGUACUUUUGUAUUUGGGAAUUUUAGGGUUUUCUUGUUCCUUGGUUAAAUGUGGCGUACAUUUUGUUAUCGUUAGUAUUGCUUUAAUAUCGAUGUUAAUGGUUGCAUUAUAUGCUUUUGGCUUUGGGUUUGUGGACUUGUUUUGUUUGUUGUGAACUGUUGCAGAUUGUAAAUGAUGUGAUUGUAAUUGGAAAAUUUAUUGAUUGAGUCUGUUUUGGAGCCCAAAGUAAAUAAGAGAUCAGGAUUCUUUGUUGAUUUUUUUGGCCUUCUAUUGAGCUAAACAGCUGAGAUAUGUCUCCUUCCUUCUAUAAGAAGUCUCAAGCCUUUACAGAGUAGGAACAGGAUUUCUUUGUUGUUAUGAAAGUUAUUUGUAUUAGUGACUUGGUAUGUGAUUCAUGACGUUGAUGGUAACCGGAUUUUGGGAUUUGUUUAUAUCAACAUAUAUCAAGGCUUAAAUCUAUGAUACAAUUAAAUAGCAUAUGUACUUCUUUUCUUUAAUUAGAAUUAGAGAAAUAGAGUUCUUGCAUGUGUGUAAAUGAAAUCUGUAUGGUUGUGUGCUUGGAGAAUCGCUGUUUCAUCUGUCAAUUCAGAGUGAAAAGUGUGUGUGUGUGUGUGUGU